AGUGAACGCUGGCGGUAGGCCUAACACAUGCAAGUCGAACGGCAGCACAGUAAGAGCUUGCUCUUACGGGUGGCGAGUGGCGGACGGGUGAGGAAUACAUCGGAAUCUACUUUUUCGUGGGGGAUAACGUAGGGUAACUUACGCUAAUACCGCAUACGACCUACGGGUGAAAGCAGGGGAUCUUCGGACCUUGCGCGAUUGAAUGAGCCGAUGUCGGAUUAGCUAGUUGGCGGGGUAAAGGCCCACCCAGGCGACGAUCCGUAGCUGGGCUGAGAGGAUGGAUAGCCCACCUGGGAAUGAGACCCGGCCCAGUCGGCCAACGGAAGGAGCAGGGGGGAAUAUGGGACAAAGGGUGGAAGCCCUAGCCCACCAAACCGGCGGGGGGAAGAAAGCCGUCGGGUCCGAAAGGCCCUUUUUUGGGGAAAGAAAAGCAGCAGGUUAAUACCCCGCUGUUCUGACGGUACCCAAAGAAUAAGCACCGGCUAACUUCGUG
RNAcentral lists this ribosomal RNA (493 nucleotides) under uncultured bacterium. Its description in RNAcentral is "partial 16S ribosomal RNA". It matches the Rfam family "Bacterial small subunit ribosomal RNA", at positions 29 to 507 of the family's 1533-position model. The record is from RNAcentral.